Molecule: non-coding RNA, 1566 nt
Organism: Macaca mulatta (Rhesus monkey)
Lineage: Eukaryota; Metazoa; Chordata; Mammalia; Primates; Cercopithecidae
Source: RefSeq, a predicted model, not a curated record
AACCAGAAAUCUGAGUGCUGAGGUUUGUGAGUCCCGCACUGCUCCAUGCCUCCGUUUCUCCAACUGUAAAAUGAGGGCAUUGCUACAGAAGUUCCAGAAGGUGCCAUUCAGCUCUGGCAUUCUAUGAAGGUGGCUUCUUACCCACUGAGCGGUUGCUGUAGAGACAAGAGCUUACACAGAGCUUGGCACAGAAUGGAGAGUCGCAUGUGUGAUCAGAGAUUCUUCCAGCUGCCUUGGGAGGAGCCAGAAAAAGACUAAAACAAACCUGAGAUAUACCACACCCCACCACACACACACACGACUCUUAUUUUCUUUCUUUCCUUUCUAUUACCAUAUCUCUAUCUUUAGCACCCCAUUCCCUGUUUAAUUUUAUUGUUGCUGUUAUCUUUUCUUCCUUCCUCCCCUUCUUCCAUUCUUCAGGUUUUCUUCCUUUCUUUCCAUUCUAUAACCCUUCCCCCCGACCCGAUUCAUUUAACAAAUAUAUCCUCACUCAUAAGACACCUCUUCUCUUUCUUAUGACAUGGAUUAAAGAUAGUGAUGAAGUCAGGUUGUUCCUAACAGCAGCCUCUCUCAUUGACUUUAUUGCUCUUGAGCAAAUAAAGAGAGUCUCAAGAGCUUACAUUCUUCAGUGCAAGAAUAUUAUUCCCAGAUCUUUGAAACAGCAUCAAAAACAACAUUCCCCUCCCCAGCUCUCAGUCUCAAGCACUGGCUCACAUCUGCUUGAAGAGGAUUCUAGCAUGGGCUGUUUCUUUCUCUUUGGUAGGAGACCCACUGUUGGAGUAUGAAAUCCUCCCACACUGGUGAACAACACAGGAAUAGGAGACGCAGCAGGAAGAUUACUGAGGUCCUUGAAAUCCAGCCAGAAGGACUGCUGGUCCACGGUGAUGGCAACAGAGACAAAAGGUGGUGAACACAUUGGUAAUGCAUGGUGAAGACAGAGAUGGCAAGUUCUACCCAAUAUGCACAUCACUCACAUCAACAGCCCUCUACUCAGGGAGGAACUGGAGAACAGAAUAUUCCCUGGGCAACUCUGUCUUUCCCUGCUGCUUCUUUUCCAGCCCCAUUAGACCUAAUGAUCUCCCAUCCUUCACUUUUAUUUAAAUAAAGGAAGUGUCACACAUAGGGAAAAUUAUCUGCAGAGAAUACCAUUAGCAAUGGAACACCUAACAAUUAUUUCCUAAGAUAAUGUUGUUCAACAGCUACGCCCUUGAGAACUGGUGGUUGGCAACGGUCUGCUCUGAGUUCUAACGUGAAAUGAAAGUCCGCGAAGGUCUCAGGUGGAAGCCUGACCCAUGCACAUCUCUUCCAGGGAAAAGAGAGCUCUCCCUGGAGGCCAGAAAACAUUUACAGGAAUAAUUUACCGUCUCUGACACAGAUCUGCCACUAUCAUCUCUACGGACCAAAAACACCAAUUAUGAGCCAAGAUGUCAAAGAGCUUCUCUCAACCAUCACUGUGGCUGCCUUUCUAAUCCCUAAUAUCUCACCAUAGCGUUGCCCAAUAAUUUGAGUUAAUUUAACAGUCAGUGUCUAGCACUAAAGUGAAAUUAUAUCUGUGAGUUGAUUCAG